CAGGUUAUCUACAAUACACACAGCUAACAGCUAACGGCUCAUUUACCUCAGGACUGCACUGCAAUAUCGUUCUGCAUGAAAAAAUACAAGCACAUCGAUAUUUAGUCAAGAGCAUCUGACUGGAGAUAUUCUGAAGAGCAGAAAAAAAAACAACAGACCGAGUGCUGACUGACGGGCUCUUAGUGUAUAUAAUGUAUUAUAUUGUAGAGUUUUUACAAACAAACGAAGUUGCAGUUGUCCCAUCAAUUUGGGUUAAAAAUGGAAUGUGUCAGUGGCCGCUGACAUAUAAAAUGAGUGACAUCAUGAGAGCUACACGGAAUCAAGAGCAGCCUGGAGACCAUUGGGAGUCAUACAGUAUAAAGAUUUUAUAUACAACUGACAACUAUAACAGUGCACGUUUGAAACUCCCUGAGGCAGAAGCCAUGACCGACAUCCACACAGCGGAAGAAGAUCAAGAUGACACGAUGGCAAAAAAAUCCAAGAAAAAAAAAAAUACCCAACAAAAGACUUCUUGACAGUACAAGUGAUGAUGACCUCCCUAUCAAAAAGAGCAAAAAACUCCCACCACCACCAGUAAUAAAGCAUCCAAACCCAGGAUUGGCUAGCUCCAAGAUUCAACCAAGACCAGUGAGCCCCGAGACCGGAGGUGGAUCGGCAAGCCCCGAGACCGGAGGUGGAUCGGCAAGCCCCGAGACCAGACGUGGAACAUCUCAAAGCAGAAGAUGGCCGUCUCAGACUCAUGAUUUUGCAUAUACGUCAACAUGUUAGGAGUCUUGCCCAAUGAGUGUAGCACAGUGUGGUUACCCAGCCUGGGAAUCAAACCCCAGAUUUCUUUCAGUCUAAAUUAAUAUGAAUUUCACUGCUUUUAAUUACUGGCUGUUCUACAUCAUCUACUGAUAAAACAAGAAAUGGUCAUAGACCAAUUGAAGAUCAUCCUGAGGACUGUUCAGGCUAUACAAGGAAGUACUGGAGGUCCAAGCGAGCAAGAUUUUGAUGAAGGGGCACUGCCGCUUACGGAUCUUGAGUCACUGCUUGAUCUAGAGAAUGUUCUGAAAAAUGAACAAGAGCUCAAAAACAAAAUGAUCACUGCUUUGGGGCUUAAUGGAGGGGUGGACCUGAAGGAUACCGUGUGGCGAAUUAUGAAGCGAACUGUGACUAACUCUUUGGCCAAGAAGUUGAACUGGCGGGGCAUAAAUGGGAAAACGGCAUUCAACAGCUUGUUACUAAAAGAUGUGAUUGCUGGAGCUGUUAGAAGAAAUCGGCUCACCAGACUGGCAACAAAUCAAGAAAUUGAGUUCUACAUAAAAAGAUGGCUACAUUUAGCAAUAGACAGAGAAGGAGGGAGGAGGUUACGGCAGGGGAGACGGUCUGUCUUGUAAGGUCCCCCCCUCUUCUUAUCAUUUGUAGCUCUCUGGUCCUACUUGGAUGCUGUCUAUGCAACGGACAGAAGGAGAGAAUUUCUCUUUGUUAACUUUGGACUGUUUGAUUGUUAAAGAUGUUGGUGCUGUUUGCAAAUAUUCACUUGUUCCUGAGUUUCAUUCUGACCAUUGUAUUGGAUGGAGAAGAAGAGAGGAAGUUAUGGCAGCAUCCUCUUUUUUUGUCAAUUUAGUUAUUUUUGGUUUUAAAGAAACACAAGUAUUGUGUGCACUAUGAUUUCAGUGUUUAUUUUAAAUGUUUACUGGACAGGGCAAUGGAAAGAGAAAGCAGGACAGUAGUUUGAAUGUUAGAUUAAAUUGUUUUGCACUA
Molecule: RNA transcript, 1746 nt
Organism: Trichomycterus rosablanca
Lineage: Eukaryota; Metazoa; Chordata; Actinopteri; Siluriformes; Trichomycteridae
Exons: 10
Source: RefSeq, a predicted model, not a curated record